This 252-nucleotide ribosomal RNA is filed under the name uncultured bacterium. RNAcentral describes it as "partial 16S ribosomal RNA". It matches the Rfam family "Bacterial small subunit ribosomal RNA", at positions 335 to 604 of the family's 1533-position model. The record is from RNAcentral.
UACCUACGGGACGCAGCAGUGGGGAAUAUUGCACAAUGGGGGAAACCCUGAUGCAGCAACGCCGCGUGAGGGAAGAAGGUUUUCGGAUUGUAAAGCUCUUUUAGCAGGGAAGAGGAAGGACGGUACCUGCAGAGGAAGCCACGGCUAACUACGUGCCAGCAGCCGCGGAAAUACGUAGGUGGCAAGCGUUGUUCGGAAUAACUGGGCGUAAAGGCUGCGUAGGCGGUUAAACAAGUUAUAUGUUAAAUAUAU